Molecule: RNase P RNA, 451 nt
Filed under: Thermoguttaceae bacterium
Lineage: Bacteria; Pseudomonadati; Planctomycetota; Planctomycetia; Pirellulales; Thermoguttaceae
Also listed under: 1 other name
Description: RNase P RNA component class A
Rfam family: Bacterial RNase P class A
About the family: Ribonuclease P (RNase P) is a ubiquitous endoribonuclease, found in archaea, bacteria and eukarya as well as chloroplasts and mitochondria. Its best characterised activity is the generation of mature 5'-ends of tRNAs by cleaving the 5'-leader elements of precursor-tRNAs.
Source: RNAcentral
GGAGCGGACCGGAUGGCCGCUGGCCGGAGGCCCGAUCAGACCGCCACUAGCGGUCGGGUGCCGGCGGGAGGAAAGUCCGGGCUCCGGAGGACACGGUGAUGGGUAACACCCACCGGCCGCGAGGCCAGGGAAAGUGCAACAGAAAGCAGACCGCCCGGCCGGACUUGUCCGCGCCGGGUAAGGGUGAAACGGUAAGGUAAGAGCUUACCAGCAGGCCGGGUGACCGGCCUGGCUAGGCAAACCCCACCGGGAGCAAGGUCAAGCAGGGGGAAGCGACCGACCGGCUUGCACUGGCAAGCUGAUGGUCGUCGCGCGGUUCGGUCCGGGCCGCCGACCCCCGGGUAGACCGCUCGAGGGGCCGAGCAAUCGGUCUCCCAGAUAAAUGGCCAUCGCUCGGCCGGUCGCUUGCGACCGGCGAGUACAGAACCCGGCUUACAGGUCCACUCCAGCC